UGUAUUUGAUCUUGAACCUCUGGUUGCCAUGACACCCAGCUAAAAAUGGUUUGCAUACUUUUCCCUGGGGACUGCCAACCACUAACAUAUUCCAAGGACAUUACACUGGCUUUUCAUUCUGUUUCCAGCAUAUUGAUGUGAGACUCCUUUUCAGAAACAUGAAGACCUUGCAGAUAGACUUCAGCAAACAUACUGGAUUUUGAAAAUGUUCUUUCAUGGAUGCUGCAGAGGAGCUCUCCAAGGGUGGAUCUUCACUGACCCACUACCCUGGGGCUGAUAUAGCAUGGCAUAUGCUGGAUUGGCCCUGGGAUGGGUCACAGAAUGCCGCUCCCCAGCUCUGCUGGACACCCACUCUUAGCGUCUCCUCCCAUUUUCUGUGUCACAAUGGUUUGGCCACUACGGAGCUGAUUCUGGCCUGAUCUAUGGGACUCAAGGCGGCUUACAGAAUCGGGCAAGCAUUCAAUGCCGAUGAAUGAAGAGUGUGGCAUCCCAUGCGGUGCCUCGUACCGGUGCUGGCAAGAUAUGGGUUGGGAUCUAGGGAGUCUGUUUCACAAGACCUCCUCCUGAAGGUGAGACCAUGAAGAGGCAGUGACUGGAAUUCUUGGAUGAACAUUGGUCCCUCCCAAAAGAAAUUUUCAUCACACAGGACCUGAUGUCUUUAGCUAGUAUUGUAGUAUCCUUAGCUUUAGCUCUAAAUUAACAAACCAGUGUGAAACCAGCAGGGUUUAGAAAUCAUGUUUAGUUCUCUAUACUUUUAAAUGCAUUCCAACAAUAGACAACAAUAUGCUAGUUCAGGUAAUAUUGAAGAGAUAAUUCCCUUAAAAGUCAAGGGUAGGAGGAAGGGAUGAUGUUGUUGGAUUUUUGGAUUAGGCCUCCAGGUUCAAAUCCUCAUUCUGCCAUGGGAAGCCUCUGAGGGCUCUUCUACACUGCCAUAUAAUCCAGAUUAUCUAAUCAGAUAAUCCAGUUUUUCUGCUUUGAACUGGAUGUGAGUCUACACUGCCACGAAAUCCAGUUCAAAGCACACAAUCUGGAUAUAUUAUGGCAGUGUAAAUGGAGCCUGAGAGAUCUUGGUAAAAUCACGCUCUUUCAGACCUAAGAAGACAACAAACUUACCCUAAACCUGAGACUCCAUAAUUUAUAAUGGAUUUAAAGGCAUAUAACAAUAACAACAGCAGCAAUAGCAAAGGUCGAAUAGGUAGCUUCUUAUCCUAGGCCCCUUCCACACCACCCCUAUAUCCCAGGAUCCGAUCCCAGAUUAUCUACUUAUCCCAGAUUAUCUGGCAGUGGGUGCUUGUAUAAUCCAGUUUAAAGCAGAUAAUCUGGGAUCAGAUUCUGGGGUUUAGGGAAGUGUAGAAGGGGUCAUAGUAAAAAAAAUGGAGUUUCACUUGAAGAAACACUAUGUCAGACAAG
This is a long non-coding RNA of Anolis carolinensis (green anole), 1410 nucleotides long. RefSeq lists it as uncharacterized. The record is from RefSeq and is a predicted model, not a curated record. Lineage: Eukaryota; Metazoa; Chordata; Lepidosauria; Squamata; Anolidae. The transcript is spliced from 3 exons.